RNAcentral lists this unclassified non-coding RNA (531 nucleotides) under Zea mays. RNAcentral's name for it is "misc RNA Zm00001eb224810". The record is from RNAcentral. Lineage: Eukaryota; Viridiplantae; Streptophyta; Magnoliopsida; Poales; Poaceae.
UUGGCGUCGUCGAGCGCCUCGAGGUCCAGCCACAGCGCGGCGGCCUUGACGUCGAGCGCGGCCUGUAGGCGGUUCACCACGGCGUCGAACGACCCGCAGCAGUGCCUGGUUCUCGCGCACUUGGACCUCGAGGUGCGCCGUGAGGGCCCAACCACCGUCCGGCACGGGCGGGCCCACUGGCCCGCUCCUCGCGAUCCGCUUGAGCUCCGACAGCCUCCGGAGGUGCGACACAGCGGCGGCGUCCGCAUCCGGCAGGAACGUCGUGUGGGCGGCCUGCAGGUGGAGGUACGCCGCCUGGAAAGACGAGGUCGUCGCAAGCGCCGCGGCGACGGCGGCAUCCUGCCCGGACGCCGCCUUCCGAUCCCCUCCCCAUCAGCGCUAGGAAAGAUAAAGGAGCUCACAAAGAUAUACUUAUUGGAUGAGGAUCUGACGCUUGUCCAGGCACCUCCUUUAUAUGAUCCAUUCAUAGUAACUGAAGGCACUGAGUCAGAUGAACAAGACGAUGAGCUAUCAUCCACAGUAGAGGGCUAG